RNAcentral lists this ribosomal RNA (459 nucleotides) under uncultured bacterium. Its description in RNAcentral is "partial 16S ribosomal RNA". It matches the Rfam family "Bacterial small subunit ribosomal RNA", at positions 339 to 795 of the family's 1533-position model. The record is from RNAcentral.
CCUCCGUCUUCUUCAUUUCUUCAUAUUGUUCACUGUCCUCCCUUCUGCACCAGCCAUGCCGCGUGCAGGAAGACGGCUCUAUGAGUUGUAAACUGCUUUUGUACGAGGGUAAACGCAGAUACGCGUAUCUGUCUGAAAGUAUCGUACGAAUAAGGAUCGGCUAACUCCGUGCCAGCAGCCGCGGUAAUACGGAGGAUUCAAGCGUUAUCCGGAUUUAUUGGGUUUAAAGGGUGCGUAGGCGGUCGGAUAAGUUAGAGGUGAAAUCCCGAGGCUCAACUUCGGAAUUGCCUCUGAUACUGUUCGGCUAGAGAGUAGUUGCGGUAGGCGGAAUGUAUGGUGUAGCGGUGAAAUGCUUAGAGAUCAUACAGAACACCGAUUGCGAAGGCAGCUUACCAAGCUACUUCUGACGUUGAGGCACGAAAGCGUGGGGAGCAAACAGGAUUAGAUACCCCUGUAGUC